This 243-nucleotide ribosomal RNA is filed under the name uncultured bacterium. RNAcentral's name for it is "partial 16S ribosomal RNA". It matches the Rfam family "Bacterial small subunit ribosomal RNA", at positions 15 to 239 of the family's 1533-position model. The record is from RNAcentral.
GAUCCUGGCUCAGGACGAACGCUGGCGGCGCGCCUAACACAUGCAAGUCGAACGGGGUUAUACGGGGUGAAGUUUUCGGAUGGAAUUCUGUAUAACCUAGUGGCGGACGGGUGAGUAACACGUGAGCAACCUGCCUAUCAGAGGGGGAUAACGAUUGGAAACGAUCGCUAAUACCGCAUGACAUAGCGAAACCGCAUGGUUUUGCUAUCAAAGAUUUAUCGCUGAUAGAUGGGCUCGCGUCCG